Molecule: long non-coding RNA, 444 nt
Organism: Myotis brandtii (Brandt's bat)
Lineage: Eukaryota; Metazoa; Chordata; Mammalia; Chiroptera; Vespertilionidae
Exons: 5
Source: RefSeq, a predicted model, not a curated record
UCAGGAGAAAUGUCUGGAAACCAGCUAACAUGAGGCAGUUACGGUGACCCAUCAGAGAGUGUUAAGAGAAGAUUUUCCUCCCAGAUUCUCUAAGGGCCCAUUGGCCUCUGCUGAUUUAGUAUCACUGCUUGAAGCCAUCAUUACUCCUAGUGACCUUUCAUCUUUGUGGCUGCUUUUGUGAGGAGGGCCUAAACAUGACUCUCUUGACUGUAAGCUUUAUUCAGGCAGAGAAACCGAGCCUUGAAGAUAUUAUCAACAUGCCUAUGUUUACAGAGAAAGCAACCCUGGAUUGUGGCUGACUCCAAAGCCAGUUUGCCAGCAUGCAGUUCAAGUGAAUAAAUCUAACUCUCUACAGAGGAAAUUCCAUUGGAAAUACAGCUUUCUCCCCGUAAAUUGAUUCUACUCAAGACUUCUACUCAAGACAGGCCUAGUGGUGCGUGCAUG